Saimiri boliviensis boliviensis (Bolivian squirrel monkey) is the source of this 1411-nucleotide non-coding RNA. The record is from RefSeq and is a predicted model, not a curated record. NCBI's taxonomy places the organism in Eukaryota, Metazoa, Chordata, Mammalia, Primates, Cebidae.
UCCCGGCUCAGGCACACUCGCUCGCUCGGGGCUCACACGCCCGGCCCAGACACCAGCGCGUUGGAGAGCACCGGGUGGGGUCCCCGAAGGGUGAGGCUCGGAGGCGCCGCAGAGGUGGGGGCUCCCUAGACAGGAAGGGGCGCUGCGGGAAGGACCCCCAGGGAGGCUGCGUUUAACCCUCGACGCCCUGUACCCAGCCCUGCGCCGCGCGCUCUGCCGCCUUCCCGGACUCCUCCCGGGGCGCGGGAGCCCAGCGGCGCGCCCAGCCCUUACCUAUGGUGGUGAUGACCGUGAUGGCAAAGUAGAAGGAGCCGGCGAAUUUCCACUGGACGCCGGCGCGGUGCGGCUCGGACUGCAGGAUCACCAGCUCCAGCUGCCGGUAGUCCUCGCUGCUGAUGUUGUACUUCCCCUUGAUCCGGAUCUCCUCGGCUUUGAGUUUUUCCUCCUCGCGCAUCUCGUGGUCCGACUCCAGGGCGUCGAACACGGCGGCGCCCACCAGCAGAUGGGAAAACUUCCAGCAAGACGGGAUCACGUGCCCAGGAUCCCACAGUGUUUCCGAUGUGGAGCCAGCCCUGGAAGCCUCUCCCUGGCUUCUGUCUAGCGCUGCUUCGAGGACCCCUGCAGCUUUCUGGCCCCAAGCUUAAAUGCCUUGACUGACCACCUACCAGCCCCCAGGCGCUGGUUCUUCCUCUCUUCCGCCCUCAGAAAUAGACCCGUGGACUCAGGCCCGCCCAGGCAGUGUCUGAGCCGUGGAAGUGGAGGGUUCCUCGUCCGCGCGUCCACUCCCGCCCAUGUGCCACUUUCCAAGGUGCUGGACCUGUGGAUGGAAUGGAAGCUCUUUGGAGCAGAGCCUGGGGCUCAGACAUCUUCCCUGAGUCCCCAGCAUCCAUCCCGAUGGUGUAUGCCACAUGGCAGCCCAGAGAGUCUGCUGGGGGCAGUGCCUCUGGAUCUGCCACCCUCGAAGUCCCUGUGGGUCUGGGAGUCCCAACUGCAGCCUCACCUGAAGAAGGAUGCGGAAAUGAGGUGUGGCCAAUCAGAGUCCAGAAUUCCCCAGGGCCACAGUGAUUGGCUGGACUUGGACGCGUGAAGGUCCACCUCAACCAAUCAGAGCCCUCCUCUGGGUAGGGCUGUCAGCAGAUUGGUGACCUGAGGAGGGAGGUGGGUUCUUCCUGACUUUGAGAACCCGGAUGCAGGCACGUGGUACACACACAAGGGUGAGCAAGUGCAUUCCCUCGUGGAUUUAAACCACAGUCAGCUGGUCCCAAGCCUGCCCAGUGCUGCUGCUGCCCAUGUGCUGUGUUCACAGGUGUUCGUGCCAUCCAGCAGCCCCACCCUAGGCCUCCCUUGGACCUGUUUCUGUAAAAACAGAUGUACCUUAUUAGCUAAUAAAGAACAUCGUGGUUUUAUAACU